CGAAAUGCUGAUUCGAGAUGUCGAAUCGUUAUAGUUUUAAGCUCAUUAUGACUUUGUCUCGGUCGAUCUCUUUGAGUCGCGACCGUUUGCCAUUUUGAGUUUUAAUUGUUAGUCAAGAGUUUUCGACUUUGACGGUUCCAAGUCGAUCCUAACGUAAUUUUCAAGCGUUUGGUCGGUCGGACCUUACUUAGUCAAUUAUAGGAUGAAUUGGAGUCAUUGUCU
This 222-nucleotide long non-coding RNA is filed under the name Brassica napus (rape). RNAcentral's name for it is "long non-coding RNA (BNAP_LNC023230)". The record is from RNAcentral. Lineage: Eukaryota; Viridiplantae; Streptophyta; Magnoliopsida; Brassicales; Brassicaceae.